Molecule: ribosomal RNA, 490 nt
Filed under: uncultured soil bacterium
Lineage: Bacteria
Description: bacterial SSU rRNA
Rfam family: Bacterial small subunit ribosomal RNA
Source: RNAcentral
AGGACGAACGCUGGCGGCGUGCUUAACACAUGCAAGUCAAGGGGGCCCCGCAAGGGGCAACCGGCGAACGGGUGCGUAACACGUGAGCGACCUGCCGAUCCGAGGGGGAUAGCCGGCCCAACGGCCGGGUAAUACCGCAUACGCUCUGAUCCCUGCAUGGGGGACCGAGGAAACUUCCGGGGCGGAUCGAGGGGCUCGCGGCCUAUCAGCUAGUUGGGGGGGUAACGCCUCCAAGGCGACGACGGGUAGCUGGUCUGAGAGGAUGGCCAGCCACAUUGGGACUGAGAGACGGCCCAGACUCCUACGGGAGCAGCAGUGGGAAUAUGCGCAAUGGCCGCAAGGCUGACGCAGCGACGCCGCGUGUGGGAUGACGUCGUUUCGGAGUAGUAAACCAUUGUUCGGACCCGGGACGAACCGUCCCGUUUUCGGACGGGACUGGACCGGUACGGGUGAGGAGCCGACCGGCUAACGUCCGUGCCGAGCACGCCGC